CCUACGGGAGGCUGCAGUAGGGAAUAUUGCACAAUGGGCGAAAGCCUGACGCAGCGACGCCGCGUGAGGGAUGAAGGUCUUCGGAUCGUAAACCUCUGUCAUCAGGGAAGAAAGGGCACUGUGCUAAUCAGCAAUGAAUUGACGGUACCUGAAAAGGAAGCACCGGCUAACUCCGUGCCAGCAGCCGCGGUAAUACGGAGGGUGCGAGCGUUAAUCGGAAUUACUGGGCGUAAAGCGCUCGUAGGCGGUAUGUCAAGUCAAGUGUGAAAUCCCCGGGCUUAACGUGGGAAGUGCCUUGGAAACUGGCAAACUGGAGUGUGUGAGAGGAUAGUGGAAUUCCAGGUGUAGGAGUGAAAUCCGUAGAUAUCUGGAGGAACAUCAGUGGCGAAGGCGACUAUCUGGCACAUAACUGACGCUGAGGAGCGAAAGCGUGGGUAGCAAACAGGAUUAGAUACCCGAGUAGUC
RNAcentral lists this ribosomal RNA (465 nucleotides) under uncultured bacterium. Its description in RNAcentral is "partial 16S ribosomal RNA". It matches the Rfam family "Bacterial small subunit ribosomal RNA", at positions 338 to 795 of the family's 1533-position model. The record is from RNAcentral.